GUGCCAGCAGCCGCGGUAAUACGUAGGGGGCGAGCGUUGUCCGGAUUCAUUGGGCGUAAAGAGCUCGUAGGCGGCUUGCUAAGUCGGGUGUGAAACCCCCAGGCUCAACCUGGGGCCGCCACCUGAUACUGGUAUGGCUGGAGUCCGGUAGGGGACCAUGGAAUUCCUGGUGUAGCGGUGAAAUGCGCAGAUAUCAGGAGGAACACCGAUGGCGAAGGCAGUGGUCUGGGCCGGUACUGACGCUGAGGAGCGAAAGCGUGGGGAGCGAACAGGAUUAGAAACCCCCGUAGUCC
This 293-nucleotide ribosomal RNA is filed under the name uncultured bacterium. RNAcentral's name for it is "partial 16S ribosomal RNA". It matches the Rfam family "Bacterial small subunit ribosomal RNA", at positions 505 to 796 of the family's 1533-position model. The record is from RNAcentral.